UGGGGAAUUUUGGACAAUGGGCGAAAGCCUGAUCCAGCAAUGCCGCGUGUGUGAAGAGGGCCUUCGGGUUGUAAAGCACUUUUGUCCGGAAAGAAAUCCUUGGCUCUAAUACAGUCGGGGGAUGACGGUACCGGAAGAAUAAGCACCGGCUAACUACGUGCCAGCAGCCGCGGUAAUACGUAGGGUGCAAGCGUUAAUCGGAAUUACUGGGCGUAAAGCGUGCGCAGGCGGUUUGCUAAGACCGAUGUGAAAUCCCCGGGCUCAACCUGGGAACUGCAUUGGUGACUGGCAGGCUAGAGUAUGGCAGAGGGGGGUAGAAUUCCACGUGUAGCAGUGAAAUGCGUAGAGAUGUGGAGGAAUACCGAUGGCGAAGGCAGCCCCCUGGGCCAAUACUGACGCUCAUGCACGAAAGCGUGGGGAGCAAACAGGAUUAGAUACCCUGGUAGUCCACGCCCUAAAACGAUGUCAACUAGUUGUUGGGGAUUCAUUUCCUUAGUAACGUAGCUAACGCGUGAAGUUGACCGCCUGGGGAGUACGGUCGCAAGAUUAAAACUUAAAGGAAUUGACGGGGUCAUAGCUGUUUCCU
Molecule: ribosomal RNA, 586 nt
Filed under: uncultured bacterium
Lineage: Bacteria
Description: partial 16S ribosomal RNA
Rfam family: Bacterial small subunit ribosomal RNA
Source: RNAcentral